GGCAUGGUGGUGUAGUGGUUAGCACUCUGAGCUCACAGCAGGGAGGCCCUGGUUUGAAUCCCGGCUGUGUCA
This 72-nucleotide transfer RNA is filed under the name Oryzias latipes (Japanese medaka). It matches the Rfam family "tRNA". Rfam says of the family: Transfer RNA (tRNA) molecules are approximately 80 nucleotides in length. The record is from Rfam by way of RNAcentral. Lineage: Eukaryota; Metazoa; Chordata; Actinopteri; Beloniformes; Adrianichthyidae.